RNAcentral lists this ribosomal RNA (1139 nucleotides) under Monomontia sp. MCZ IZ 132918. RNAcentral's name for it is "SSU rRNA". It matches the Rfam family "Eukaryotic small subunit ribosomal RNA", at positions 155 to 1288 of the family's 1831-position model. Lineage: Eukaryota; Metazoa; Arthropoda; Arachnida; Opiliones; Triaenonychidae. The record is from RNAcentral.
AUUCUAGAGCUAAUACAUGCAGCAGAACUCAGACCUUCGGGGACGAGUGCUUUUAUUAGACCAAGACCAAUCGGGCUUCGGCUCGACACCCAUGGCGACUCUGGAUAACUUUGGGCUGAUCGCACGAUCUUGUAUCGGCGACGUUUCUUUUUAAGUGUCUGCCUUAUCAACUGUCGAUGGUAGGUUAUGCGCCUACCAUGGUCGUAACGGGUGACGGGGAAUCAGGGUUCGAUUCCGGAGAGGGAGCCUGAGAAACGGCUACCACAUCCAAGGAAGGCAGCAGGCGCCCAAAUUACCCACUCCCGACAGGGGGAGGUAGUGACAAAAAAUAGCGAUGCGGGACUCUUUUGAGGCCCCGCAAUCGGAAUGAGAACACUCUAAAUCCUUUACCGAGGAUCCAUUGGAGGGCAAGUCUGGUGCCAGCAGCCGCGGUAAUUCCAGCUCCAAUAGCGUAUAUCUAAAGUUGUUGCGGUUAAAAAGCUCGUAGUUGGAUCUCAGUUCGAGACUGGCGGUCCGCCGUUCGGUGGUUACUGCCAGGACUCAACAUCCUGCCGGUUUUCCCCUGGUGCUCUUCACUGAGUGUCUCGGGUGCCCGGCACGUUUACUUUGAAAAAAUUAGAGUGCUCAAAGCAGGCGUUUCGCCUGAAUAAUGGUGCAUGGAAUAAUGGAAUAGGAUCUUGGUUCUAUUGUGUUGGUUUUCGGAACACGAGGUAAUGAUUAAGAGGGACAGACGGGGGCAUUCGUAUUGCGACGCUAGAGGUGAAAUUCUUGGACCGUCGCAAGACGAACUACUGCGAAAGCAUUUGCCAAGCAUGUUUUCAUUAAUCAAGAACGAAAGUUAGAGGUUCGAAGGCGAUCAGAUACCGCCCCUAGUUCUAACCAUAAACGAUGCCAACCAGCAAUCCGCCUGAGUUCCUCAAAAUGACUCGGCGGGCAGCUUCCGGGAAACCAAAGUGUUUGGGUUCCGGGGUAAGUAUGGUUGCAAAGCUGAAACUUAAAGGAAUUGACGGAAGGGCACCACCAGGAGUGGAGCCUGCGGCUUAAUUUGACUCAACACGGGAAAACUUACCCGGCCCGGACACCGGAAGGAUUGACAGAUUAAGAGCUCUUUCUUGAUUCGGUGGGUGGUGGUGCAUGGC